RNAcentral lists this unclassified non-coding RNA (163 nucleotides) under plant metagenome. Its description in RNAcentral is "partial contains small subunit ribosomal RNA and internal transcribed spacer 1". The stretch from base 1 to 46 matches the Rfam family "Eukaryotic small subunit ribosomal RNA", at positions 1786 to 1831 of the family's 1831-position model. The record is from RNAcentral.
AAGUCAUAACAAGGUUUCCGUAGGUGAACCUGCGGAAGGAUCAUUAGUGAAUCGGCCCUCUGUGGCCUUCAUCAAAUCCUCACACCUCUGUGAACUGUUGGGCCUCGGCCCACUUUUAUAAACUUUUGUCGUCAUGAACGUAUGUAAUACAAAACAAAACAAA